AAGAUGUGGGGCACGGAGAUGCGGGACAUGGAGAUGCAGGACACAGAGCUGUGGGGCACGGAGCUGUGGGGCACGGAGCUGUGGGGCACAGUGCUAUGGGGCACGGCGCUGUGGGGCACGGAGCUGUGGGGCACGGACCUGUGGAGCACGGAGCUGUGGGGCACGGCGCUGGGGGGCACGGCGCUGUGGGGCACGGCGCUGUGGGGCACAGAGCUGUGGGGCACGGCGCUGUGGGGCACAGAGCUGUGGGGCACAGCGCUAUGGGGCACGGAGCUGUGGGGCACGGAGCUGUGGGGCACGGAGAUGCGGGACACGGAGAUGCAGGACACAGAGCUGUGGGGUACGGAGCUGUGGGGCACAGUGCUAUGGGGCACAGAGCUGUGGGGCACGGAGCUGUGGGGCACGGAGCUGUGGAGCACGGAGCUGUGGGGCACGGCGCUGGGGGGCACGGAGCUGUGGGGCACGGCGCUGGGGGGCACGGAGCUGUGGGGCACAGCGCUACGGGGCACGGAGCUGUGGGGCACGGAGCUGUGGGGCACAGCGCUAUGGGGCAUGGAGCUAUGGGGCACGGAGAUGCGGGACACAGUGCUGUGGGGCACGGAGCUGUGGGGCACGGAGCUAUGGGGCACGGAGAUGCGGGACACGGCGCUGUGGGGCACAGUGCUAUGGGGCACAGUGCUAUGGGGACAUCACUAUAGACACAGUGCUAUGGGGCACUAUGGGGACAGCGCUAUGGGGCAUUGCUAUGGGGCACAGCGCUAUGGGACAAUGCUAUGGGGCACAGCGCUAUGGGUACAGUGCUAUGGGGCACAGCGCUAUGGGGCACAGUGCUAUGGGGACAUCACUAUAGACACAGCGCUAUGGGGCACAGCGCUAUGGGGCGUUGCUAUGGGGACAGCGCUAUGGGGCACAGCGCUCUGGGGUCCCCACACUGGUGACCCACACGGGGACACGGGGACCUGCGCCACCCCCCCCCCCCACGAGGCCUCGCACGGGGCUUGGUGA
RNAcentral lists this long non-coding RNA (1005 nucleotides) under Numida meleagris (helmeted guineafowl). RNAcentral describes it as "lncRNA (ENSNMEG00000001416.1)". The record is from RNAcentral. Lineage: Eukaryota; Metazoa; Chordata; Aves; Galliformes; Numididae.